GGCGUGGUGCCAGAGUGGUUAAUGGGUGAGACUUGAAAUCUCAUGGCUUCGGCCGCGCAAGUUCGAACCUUGUCCACGUCG
RNAcentral lists this transfer RNA (81 nucleotides) under Verruconis gallopava. RNAcentral's name for it is "tRNA-Ser (TGA) (tRNA-Ser-TGA-1-1)". It matches the Rfam family "tRNA". Rfam says of the family: Transfer RNA (tRNA) molecules are approximately 80 nucleotides in length. Lineage: Eukaryota; Fungi; Ascomycota; Dothideomycetes; Venturiales; Sympoventuriaceae. The record is from RNAcentral.